CAGCCGCCGCGGGAACACGAAGGGUGCAAGCGUUACUCGGAAUUACUGGGCGUAAAGCGUGCGUAGGUGGUGGUUUAAGUCCGUUGUGAAAGCCCUGGGCUCAACCUGGGAAUUGCAGUGGAUACUGGGUCACUAGAGUGUGGUAGAGGAUAGUGGAAUUUCCGGUGUAGCAGUGAAAUGCGUAGAGAUCGGAAGGAACAUCUGUGGCGAAGGCGACUAUCUGGGCCAACACUGACACUGAGGCACGAAAGCGUGGGGAGCAAACAGGAUUAGAUACCCGGGUAGUCCCUGUCUCUUAUAC
Molecule: ribosomal RNA, 301 nt
Filed under: uncultured bacterium
Lineage: Bacteria
Description: partial 16S ribosomal RNA
Rfam family: Bacterial small subunit ribosomal RNA
Source: RNAcentral